Molecule: non-coding RNA, 81 nt
Organism: Podarcis lilfordi (Lilford's wall lizard)
Lineage: Eukaryota; Metazoa; Chordata; Lepidosauria; Squamata; Lacertidae
Source: the annotation of a GenBank genome assembly
GCCCAUGUAGCUCAGUGGAAAGAGCAACUGUUUUGCAUGCUCAAGAUCACUGGUUCAAUCCGUGUCAUCUCCACAUGGGCU